RNAcentral lists this ribosomal RNA (359 nucleotides) under uncultured bacterium. Its description in RNAcentral is "bacterial SSU rRNA". It matches the Rfam family "Bacterial small subunit ribosomal RNA", at positions 335 to 681 of the family's 1533-position model. The record is from RNAcentral.
ACUCCUACGGGAGGCAGCAGUGGGGAAUAUUGCACAAUGGGCGCAAGCCUGAUGCAGCCAUGCCGCGUGUGUGAAGAAGGCCUUCGGGUUGUAAAGCACUUUCAGUCGUGAGGAAGGUAGUGUAGUUAAUAGCUGCAUUAUUUGUACGUUAGCGACAGAAGAAGCACCGGCUAACUCCGUGCCAGCAGCCGCGGUAAUACGGAGGGUGCGAGCGUUAAUCGGAAUUACGUGGGCGUAAAGCGCAUGCAGGUGGUUUGUUAAGUCAGAUGUGAAAGCCCGGGGCUCAACCUCGGAAUAGCAUUUAGAAACUGGCAGACUAGAGUACUGGUAGAGGGGGUUAGAAUUUCGAGGUGUAGCGG